UGUCGGCGGGCUGCUGUGGGCGUCGCGAGGCUCCGGCGGUGCUGCUGUGGCCCUGUCGGCGUUGUGAGCUGCAGCGGGGCUGCUGUGGGGGUCGCGGCUGCCGUCGCGGUUGCCGUGGGCGUCGCGGCUGCCGGGGAACUCUUCUUGUUGUGGGUGUCGCAGCUGACGGCGGGCUGAGGAGGAAGGGUUGGAGGCUGCUGGGUUAAAUUUUGCUUAUAUAAUCA
RNAcentral lists this long non-coding RNA (224 nucleotides) under Vitis vinifera (wine grape). RNAcentral's name for it is "long non-coding RNA (VVIN_LNC004620)". Lineage: Eukaryota; Viridiplantae; Streptophyta; Magnoliopsida; Vitales; Vitaceae. The record is from RNAcentral.